GUGGCAGCAGCCGCGGUAAAACCAGCACCUCAAGUGGUCAGGAUGAUUAUUGGGCCUAAAGCAUCCGUAGCCGGCUUUGUUAGUUUUCGGUUAAAUCUAUAUGCUCAACAUAUAGGCUGCCGGGAAUACUACAAAGCUAGGGAGUGGGAGAGGUAGACGGUACUCCGUAGGAAGGGGUAAAAUCCUUUGAUCUAUGGAUGACCACCUGUGGCGAAGGCGGUCUACCAGAACAUGUCCGACGGUGAGGGAUGAAAGCUNGGGGAGCAAACCGGAUUAGAUACCCGGGUAGUCCCAGCUGUAAACUAUGCAAACUCAGUGAUGCAUUGGCUUGUGGCCAGUGCAGUGCCGCAGGGAAGCCGUUAAGUUUGCCGCCUGGGAAGUACGUACGCAAGUACGAAACUUAAAGGAAUUGGCGGGGGAGCACCACAAGGGGUGAAGCCUGCGGUUCAAUUGGAGUCAACGCCAGAAAUCUUACCCGGAGAGACAGCAGGAUGAAGGUCAAGCUGAAGACUUUACCAGACAAGCUGAGAAGUGGUGCAUGGCCGUCGCCAGCUCGUGCCGUGAGAUGUCCUGUUAAGUCAGGUAACGAGCGAGAUCCUUGCCUCUAGUUGCCACCAUUACUCUCAGGAGUAGUGGGGCGAAUUAGCGGGACUGCCGUAGUUAAUACGGAGGAAGGAGAGGGCCACGGCAGGUCAGUAUGCCCUGAAACUCUGGGGCCACACGCGGGCUGCAAUGGUAGUGACAAUGUGUUCCGAAUCCGAAAGGAGGAGGUAAUCCAAAAACGCUACCACAGUUAUGACUGAGGGCUGCAACUCGCCCUCACGAAUAUGGAAUCCCUAGUAACUGCGUGUCAUUAUCGCGCGGUGAAUACGUCCCUGCUCCUUGCACACACCGCCCGUC
RNAcentral lists this ribosomal RNA (900 nucleotides) under uncultured archaeon. RNAcentral describes it as "bacterial SSU rRNA". It matches the Rfam family "Archaeal small subunit ribosomal RNA", at positions 455 to 1354 of the family's 1478-position model. The record is from RNAcentral.